GUUUGUAGUAUACAGCUGUGUACAUUUGUAUUUGGCGGAUCCGAGGAGGAACUGAUGAGUUCGGACUCCCGACUGCGGCUCCAGGAGACAUCCUGGUAGC
Molecule: non-coding RNA, 100 nt
Organism: Cricetulus griseus (Chinese hamster)
Lineage: Eukaryota; Metazoa; Chordata; Mammalia; Rodentia; Cricetidae
Source: Rfam